GGAUCAUUAUCGUGCAACAGAGGCGCGAGGGCUGUCGCUGACUCGAAAAGGUCGUGCACGCCCGAGCGCUCUCACGCAUCCAUUUCACCCUUUUGUGCACCACCGCGUGGGUCGCCCUCCCUCCGAGGGUGGGCGGCUUGCGUUUUUACACAAACCCCCACGUAACGUAGCGUUAGAAUGUUUUACCUUUUGCGGUGACACGCAAUCAAUACAACUUUCAACAACGGAUCUCUUGGCUCUCGCAUCGAUGAAGAACGCAGCGAAAUGCGAUACGUAAUGUGAAUUGCAGAAUUCAGUGAAUCAUCGAAUCUUUGAACGCACCUUGCGCCUCUUGGUAUUCCGAGGGGCACACCCGUUUGAGUGUCGUGACAUCCUCAACCUUCUCGAUCUUUGCGGUCGGGGAAGGCUUGGACUUUGGGGGUUUAUGCUGGCCUCUCUCGAAGCCAGCUCCCCUUAAAUGGAUUAGUGGGGUUCGCUUUGCCGAUCCUCGACGUUGAUAAGAUGUUUCUACGUCUUGGGUUGAGCACUGUCUUUCGGGAACCUGCUUCUAACCGUCUCGCGAGAGACGACGCGUUUUGGACCUUGACCUCAAAUCGGGUGAGACUACCCGCUGAACUUAAGCAUAUCAAUAAGCGGAGGAAAAGAAACUAACAAGGAUUCCCCUAGUAACUGCGAGUGAAGCGGGAAAAGCUCAAAUUUAAAAUCUGGUGGUCUCUGGCCACCCGAGU
This 728-nucleotide ribosomal RNA is filed under the name uncultured fungus. RNAcentral's name for it is "eukaryotic LSU rRNA". The stretch from base 213 to 366 matches the Rfam family "5.8S ribosomal RNA". Lineage: Eukaryota; Fungi. The record is from RNAcentral.